AUGAAUAUCAUUUGCUGGAACUAUCGAGAUUUGGGGUCGGACUCGACAGUUGGCGAGCUUCGCUGGCUUGUGAAGCUUUACCACCCCAUCCUCCUCUUCUUAUCUGAGACGAAGAUGAGGGAUUCCCGUGCAAAAAAUUUCAUGUGAUCUUUGGGUUUCACUGGUGGUCAUGCCGUUAGUAGUGUUGGUCAAAGUGGUGGCCUUGUUCUGUUCUGGACUGCGUCCGUAAGUGUUUCUUUAAAGGCUUUUAAUGAUCGUUGUAUUGAUGUUCAUGUCCAUCCGGAAGAUGGUGUGCCUUGGCGUGCAACCUUCAUUUUAUGGUGA
RNAcentral lists this ribosomal RNA (324 nucleotides) under Triticum aestivum (bread wheat). RNAcentral's name for it is "partial small subunit ribosomal RNA". The record is from RNAcentral. Lineage: Eukaryota; Viridiplantae; Streptophyta; Magnoliopsida; Poales; Poaceae.